CACUCCCUGGGGUGUUCGACAGGCGUUCAAGUCCCUCGAGCCGAUAAGUACACCCCUGGAGGCCUUCUGUGAUGCUGGUGAGCAUGUCCGUUUAGCGGAAAGCCUGAUGCAUUCGAAGGCCCCCACCUUGAACCUUAGGGUUCAGGGCCACGAUCGUUACCGGCACUCCCGGGGAGCCC
Molecule: non-coding RNA, 179 nt
Organism: Marinobacterium sp.
Lineage: Bacteria; Pseudomonadati; Pseudomonadota; Gammaproteobacteria; Oceanospirillales; Oceanospirillaceae
Rfam family: 6S / SsrS RNA
About the family: E. coli 6S RNA was the first non coding RNA to be sequenced, but its function was unknown until recently. It consists of 184 nucleotides that fold into an extended hairpin structure with a large single-stranded internal bulge.
Source: Rfam